This 415-nucleotide ribosomal RNA is filed under the name uncultured eukaryote. RNAcentral's name for it is "SSU rRNA". It matches the Rfam family "Eukaryotic small subunit ribosomal RNA", at positions 592 to 1013 of the family's 1831-position model. The record is from RNAcentral.
CAAUAGCGUAUAUUAAAUUGUUGCGGUUAAAAGCUCGUAGUUGGAUUUCUGCCGAGGACGACCGGUCCGCCCUCUGGGUGAGCAUCUGGUUCGGCCUGGGCAUCUUCUUGGAGAACGUUGCUGCACUUGACUGUGUGGAGCGGUAUCCAGGACUUUUACUUUGAGGAAAUUAGAGUGUUUCAAGCAGGCAUACGCCUUGAAUACAUUAGCAUGAAAUAAUAAGAUAGGACCUCGGUUCUAUUUUGUUGGUUUCUAGAGUUGAGGUAAUGAUUAAUAGGGAUAGUUGGGGCGAUUCGUAUUUAACUGUCAGAGGUGGAAUUCUUGGAUUUGUUAAAGACGGAUUACUGCGGAAGCAUUUGCCAAGGAUGUUUUCAUUGAUCAAGAACGAAAGUUAGGGGAUCGAAGACGAUUAGAU